CGCAAGUAAAGAGCUUUGAAUACCUUUAGUCCCCCAAAUCAGUUGUUGUGAUGAAACGACGAGAUCUUUAGACUCUAAAUUCUCUUAUUCAGGCGCGGGAUGAAAGAGAUCUGGAGUAGAUCAAUAGUAGCUGUGCAAGGUUCGUAGCCAUGGAUUUUUUGAGCGGGAAAUGUGAGCUGUUCUCCUCCCUUCCUCGCCCACAUAAACAGCCAACGAUCCCUUUGGAACAUCUGAUGGUGGAGAGGAUUUCCUUCGCAAGUAGCUUGUGCUGCGAUUUCUUGUAAAGCCUGUGUUGGGAUCCAAGGAA
Molecule: long non-coding RNA, 307 nt
Organism: Selaginella moellendorffii
Lineage: Eukaryota; Viridiplantae; Streptophyta; Lycopodiopsida; Selaginellales; Selaginellaceae
Exons: 2
Source: RefSeq, a predicted model, not a curated record